RNAcentral lists this non-coding RNA (29 nucleotides) under Mus musculus (house mouse). The record is from RNAcentral. Lineage: Eukaryota; Metazoa; Chordata; Mammalia; Rodentia; Muridae.
UGAUUUGGAAACUAUUUCUGAGAAUUUCU